GAUUAGACUGAUUUAUGGAGAAUGGUUUAUGUAGCAAAAUGGUGCUUCCCACUUCGACUAGCUCUGUGAAGCAAUGGUUGAAGAAAUCUUGUAUUCCUUAUGUCCCAUAGGGCAGGAGGUUAUUAGAGCAAUAUUGGGUAGGACAGCCUAUUGUGAAUUUGUACUAGUGAUUUUGGGGAGAAUGUGGUCGAUUCAUCAGGACAUGGGUUGAAUUCGAAUCCGGGUUUGGAGGUCCAGAGCAAUGGGAAUCCAGAGAGCUAUAUGGGUUUGCAAAGUGGUGAUUCGAGCUGUUGGAAUGGGAGCAAUGGGUGGCCUGACCUUGCCAUUUACACCCCACGUUCAGGUUUUCAGUAGAUAAUUAGAUAAUGCUUUUCAUAUAUAUUAGUCUAUGAUAUAAUGUUUCACACUGGAAACUAUGAUUGCGUAGAGAAAUGGAGCAUGAAUGACUCUUUAGGCUUAAUGCUAAGCAGCUUUAAGCUUUUAAUUUUAGAAUUUUCUGAGGUUAUAGAGAGGGUGAGAAACACCAAAGUCCACAGAGCCAUACCAAAGUGUUCCAUAUGUAAUGGCUUGUUUUGUUCUCUUUUGUGUGGUUUUUGGUUGUAUAUGAUGUAACUUAAAUAUGAAUGACCUUUUCUUCUUCUCUUUUACCUUUUGAGGUCCCCCUUUUAUUGAGGGAUAUGACAUCCGAGCAGCCAAAGUUGUAUCAUGGCUUGAUGGUAUUGGAUUGCAGAGUGAGAAACAAUGAAGAUCCUUGCUGCAUUUCACCUUAUGGAACCAACCUGAUGAACUUGCCAUUGUCCAAGGCAUGUAGCAGUUGAAUUUUGGGGCCUCGAAUUUUUUCUCGCCUUGAGCCUCCAAACUCACAGGGCCGGCCCUGAGUGGUUCCUGAUCGCUGGCCACCCUACUUGCACUUGCAGAGAAGAGAAUUGUACGGAAAAGAAAAAACAAAAACUUGCAAUAAAUUAUAUCAAUCAGAUCCUGGCCCUCUGUAAAUCGUCAAGGCCUGUAUGAGACCUUGAAUUAAGAUCGAUGGAAAUUAUACCUUUCGAUGAAGUUGUUGAUGAGAAAAUGCGUCAACGCAUCAGUUUUAAUGAGUAUUAGAUGAAAUCGAAUGACGAAAAUUAGUGAAGACCAAAUCCAUGCUUGUGUAGAGUCCAGAGCCGAAGACGUACAGCAAAAGAAAAAGAAAAAAUCAGACAACAAGUCUGCAUUCUGCAGCUAAGAGAUGCCUUCUCUCAUGAUAUGAUAUGUAUUGAUGGCUGACUGGGUAGGGUUGGUAUCAUUGGUUCUCAGCCGUUGGAUGCCUGAGAUUGCCAGAUUAGGUAAAAGAAAUAUGUAUGGCUCCAGUUGUUGGAAAACGCACUGGUUGAAAAAAUAUUUUACAGCUGAGUUUGUUACUAGAAGAGGUCAAAUCGAUGGCUAAGUUUGGCUUCUCGAUCUUCUCAACAGUCAGCUGCCUACAUCUUGGAUUUAUAACAAACUACGACCAGAAAAAAGAAAAAAAAGAAAGAACGCAAGUGAGUGAGACAUGAGGAUUGUGCUCCUUUCCAGCUUUACUUUUUCCUUUUUUAAAGACUAAAGUUAAAGAGAAGAGCAUGCAUGGAGCUUCUGAUGAUCGGCAAGCUGCCGUUCCAGAGGCUUGUGAGGGAGAUUGCUCAGGAUUUCAAGAUCACCAAUCUCCGGUUAAUUCCAGAGCAGCUUCAGGGAGGCAGCGGAGGAGCUAGAGAGGCUUCACUUGCUUCGUUUCUCCUAACUGUGAGUGAUGGAGCGGUACAGGUAGGCGGUCAUGUUCGAGCCACGUGGUUGCCAUGCUAUAUUUUUAAGUUUUGACCUCACGCUGCCGGUGUCCAUGCGCUGACGGACGGUUGGAUCAUAAUCAUAUAAUGCAAUUACGGAGGGCAGAGAUUUAGAAGACAAACCUUAAAGCAAUUUGUGUGGCAAUAUUGCUAUUAGGUUUGUUUUCUUUUCAAGAUAGUUAUGAAUGAUUGAUACCUGUUUUGGGAUGAUGGGGUUGGCUUCAAACUCUGCAUAUGUCAAUUAUGGUGUUCCAGUUUGGCCAAGGCACAUGACAAUCUUUUUUGGGUUUGGUUGUAGCUGGAAGACUGUUCUUGUAAUUGGAACUGUAUGCUUUAUUGUUUACUGCCCAUUUGCAUUGA
Molecule: long non-coding RNA, 2156 nt
Organism: Rosa rugosa (rugosa rose)
Lineage: Eukaryota; Viridiplantae; Streptophyta; Magnoliopsida; Rosales; Rosaceae
Exons: 2
Source: RefSeq, a predicted model, not a curated record